GAUGAACGCUGGCGGCGUGCCUAAUACAUGCAAGUCGAGCGAACGGACGAGAAGCUUGCUUCUCUGAUGCUAGCGGCGGACGGGUGAGUAACACGUGGAUAACCUACCUAUAAGACUGGGAUAACUUCGGGAAACCGGAGCUAAUACCGGAUGAUAUUUUGAACCGCAUGGUUCAAAAGUGAAAGACGGUCUUGCUGUCACUUAUAGAUGGAUCCGCGCUGCAUUAGCUAGUUGGUAAGGUAACGGCUUACCAAGGCAACGAUGCAUAGCCGACCUGAGAGGGUGAUCGGCCACACUGGAACUGAGACACGGUCCAGACUCCUACGGGAGGCAGCAGUAGGGAAUCUUCCGCAAUGGGCGAAAGCCUGACGGAGCAACGCCGCGUGAGUGAUGAAGGCCUUCGGAUCGUAAAACUCUGUUAUUAGGGAAGAACAUAUGUGUAAGUAACUGUGCACAUCUUGACGGUACCUAAUCAGAAAGCCACGGCUAACUACGUG
This 497-nucleotide ribosomal RNA is filed under the name uncultured bacterium. Its description in RNAcentral is "partial 16S ribosomal RNA". It matches the Rfam family "Bacterial small subunit ribosomal RNA", at positions 28 to 507 of the family's 1533-position model. The record is from RNAcentral.